AUGGGCACCAGCCUCCUGUGCUGUGUGGCCUUCGGUCUUCUGCAGGCAGGUCCAGGCAAUGCUGGUGUCACUCAGGACCCCAAAUUCCGGGUCCUGAGGACAGGACAGAGCGUGACCCUGAAAUGUGCCCAGGAUCUGGACCACUACUAUACGUGCUGGUACCGACAGGACCUGGGACAUGGGCUGAGGCUGAUCUAUUACUCGUCUGCCACUGGCACCGCCAACAAAGGAGAUGUCCCCGACGGGUACAGCGUCUCCAGAUCAAACCUCGAGGACUUCCCUCUCACGCUGGCGUCUGCCACCCCCUCCCAGACGUCUGUGUACCUCUGCGCCAGCAGGGCAUCGGGGAUGCCUAACGAUCGGUUCUCUGCUGAGAGGCCUGAGGGCUCGUACUCGCAUCUGAAGAUCCAGCCAGCGGAGCCCGGGGACUCGGCCGUGUGUCUCUGUGCCAGCAGCUUAAUCUAA
Balaenoptera acutorostrata (minke whale) is the source of this 465-nucleotide non-coding RNA. Lineage: Eukaryota; Metazoa; Chordata; Mammalia; Artiodactyla; Balaenopteridae. The record is from the annotation of a RefSeq genome assembly.